Molecule: long non-coding RNA, 1935 nt
Organism: Mauremys reevesii (Reeves's turtle)
Lineage: Eukaryota; Metazoa; Chordata; Testudines; Geoemydidae
Exons: 2
Source: RefSeq, a predicted model, not a curated record
GGCACCUGCUGUAGGUGCUGGGGCUUGUUGACAGACAGAGGCACUGCAGGAGACUGCAGCCCUUUCCUCCAGGGCUUUGGGAAGCACCUGGAACGGCUGGUUAGCGUGACGCUCCAUUGGCUCCUUCUGCUGGGAAGCCUGAUGUGACCAUGAAGACCAAACUGGAGACUCCAGGGCCGUGCCAGGCUGAGGCAGGCUCCCCCAGGCUUGGAAGCAUCCGCUCCGUGCUCCUAUCUAGAGUUAAGUGUCUACUUCAGCCCCACAAGCUAGGGGUGCGUUUGGCCAGUACUGAGCAGGGACGAGCCUGCCUGGAGCCUGACUCAUCCGAGCCUGGCAGCUGCCCCUGGCAGAAGCUGCUGAUUGCCCUAGGAAUAAUGAUCACCAUGGCACUAAUGGUCCUGCUGCUCCUCUGGCAUUACAAGUGCAUUGUCAUUGACCGGUACUGUGAAGGGAACAGGGAGGUGCUGCCCCCCUUGUUCAAAAUUCUUCAGAGAAAGGGGACAUGAAACUUGGCUGUGGCCUGCUCCCAGAGACACCACACCCCUGCCUUCCUGUCUGCAAGGACGACGUGGACCUCUGCUGAGCAGUUCGGACUGGGCCUCUCCUUACCCAGGAACGUGGCUCCUGAGCUAACGGACCCGUUUGCCUGGACAAAUUCCGCACGCUAGCGUUGGCAGGCGCUUGUUCUAGUUCCUGUGUAACCUCCUCCCACCCAUGUACUUGCUUUCCCAGAGCCUGGUGACUGUAGCGUGAAUAGCCCAGCUCUGAAGUGAUGUCACAUUUUGAUUCACACUAAAUUUCAUGACCCUUCCAGGCUGUAGUUCUGUCUGAACUGGGCGGCGGCGGCGGGGGGGGGGACAUCUCUUGCUCUGAGGGGCACAUCAAUACCCAUCCUGGGGCCUGGCAUGCUAGGAUCACAUGGUCUAGGACUUCUCUGCUUACUGGGGGCCAAGUGGCCUGUCACAGGCUUGCCAUUUACAAGGCCCUGAACAGACUUUGUCCAGCACUCACAAGCCCCGAUGUUGGCCCGAUAGUCCAGGCUGGAUUUCCCACUGGUCCUGUGUCAUCGUUCACACCUGUGCAGAAGAGGUAUAAAAUACUGCCCCUGAGCAUCUCACUAGUCACAGCCCUGCACAGGUGUGACCGGUGACCCUAGGGGCAAGGCCAUGAAGAAGCAGGUUCUGAUUCUUGGCACGUAGGUGGCCAUGGGUCUAGAACAUGCAUCUGGUCUCCACUCAUCUCUGUAGAACUGGAGUGACACCUGCCCUGACCAGAGAGAUUUGUAUCUGCUGAGCCACCUGUAGAUACGAUGGCCUAAUCCAUGUUAGAUGUGUCCUGCCAACUAUAGUUGUUUGUUUUUCACCCUCCAUGUUUGUCUGUGUCAACCCUGCAGCCUCACUCGCCCUCAGAACUUAACAGCCUCAGCCCUAGCUGGAGUGGAGGGGCAGCACGUUGGGGCAGGUCAGAGGAGGGAGGGGAUGGAGCAAAGGGAGGAGGUGUGGCUGGGGCAGUCCUGCACCCUUGUGAUUGUCUGCCCCAUAAGGCAGCCCUGAGCACUGCACACGGAGAUGUAUCAGCCCCUCAGUCGGGCAGGUGUAAGCCAGCUGCGUGUCACUGGGCCCAGCCAGAGCUGAAUCAGCAGCUGUCUCAAAUUCUUCACUGCUGUGACGCUGUUCUGGUGGAGACCGAAAAGAGAGGGGCUCCCCCGUAACAAAGCUAGGAAUGAGGUGCUAUUGGCCAGGGCUCUGGAGGAGGACUUGACAGCUGGGCUCAGUUCCCAGCACAGCCCCAGACUUCCUGGAGGACCUUGGCCAAAUCACCUAAUCGACCCUGUUCUCCAUUCCCCAGCAGGAAAUAACUCAGCAAAAUGGUGUCUGGUCCUGGGGAGGGAGGGUAAAUCAUGAGUGCCUGGGAGGGGCUCCCAUGCUGGGGGGA